This 378-nucleotide ribosomal RNA is filed under the name uncultured bacterium. RNAcentral's name for it is "bacterial SSU rRNA". It matches the Rfam family "Bacterial small subunit ribosomal RNA", at positions 521 to 896 of the family's 1533-position model. The record is from RNAcentral.
UAAUACGAAGGGGGCUAGCGUUGUUCGGAUUUACUGGGCGUAAAGGGCACGUAGGCGGUCUAUUAAGUCAGUGGUGAAAUCCCGAGGCUCAACCUCGGAACUGCCUUUGAUACUGAUAGACUCAGAGCAUGAUAGAGGGUAACGGAAUUCCCAGUGUAGAGGUGAAAUUCGUAGAUAUUGGGAGGAACACCGGUUGCGAAGGCGGUUACCUGGAUCAUUGCUGACGCUAAGGUGCGAAAGCGUGGGGAGCGAACAGGAUUAGAUACCCUGGUCGUCCACGCCCUAAACGAUGAGUGCUCGUUGUUGAGAUCAUUUAUGAUCCCAGUGACUUAGCUAACGCGUUAAGCACUCCGCCUGGGGAGUACGGUCGCAAGAUUA